RNAcentral lists this ribosomal RNA (403 nucleotides) under uncultured bacterium. Its description in RNAcentral is "bacterial SSU rRNA". It matches the Rfam family "Bacterial small subunit ribosomal RNA", at positions 29 to 422 of the family's 1533-position model. The record is from RNAcentral.
AAUCAACGCUGGCGGCGUGCCUAACACAUGCAAGUCGAACGCGAGAGGGGCUUCGGCCCCGAUUGAGUGGCGAACGGGUGAGUAACGCGUGGGUGACCUACCUUCGAGUGGGGGAUAACGUCCCGAAAGGGACGCUAAUACCGCAUAACAUCCUGCUUUUGAAUGGGUGGAGAUCAAAGCCGGGGAUCGCAAGACCUGGCGCUUGAUGAGGGGCCCGCGUCUGAUUAGCUAGUUGGGAGGUAACGGCCCACCAAGGCAACGAUCAGUAUCCGGCCUGAGAGGGCGGACGGACACACUGGGACUGAGACACGGCCAGACUCCUACGGGAGCAGCAGUGGGGAAUUGUUCGCAAUGGGCGCAAGCCUGACGACGCAACGCCGCGUGGAGGAUGAAGGUCUUCGGA